GAAAAGACCAUUACAAUUUCAUAGUCUCCUAGUUACAUAAUUUUUGCAGUCUCUAAAGUAUAAUAUCAACUGCUACCAAUGCAAUUUUUUUUUAGCAAGGGAAUUGCUGAGUGAAGACUCGAAAUUAGCUUUAUCAAAUGAGUAAUAUGCUUUCCGCUCCUAAAUAAAGCUACGUUUCUUUUACAAUUUCACAGUUUCCUGGUUAUCUAUUGAAUGUCUGCUAUGGUUUAAAAAAGAGCACCCUUUGGCCUUCUGCGUGUGUUCGCGUCUCCAUAUUCUUGAUGAACCAUAACAGUCGAUUACUUGAAUCCCACUGAAGUAAUUAAGCAAGUGAACAUGCACACCUUCCUUAUGAGGACUUUAAAUUCAUC
This 371-nucleotide unclassified non-coding RNA is filed under the name Hevea brasiliensis (rubber tree). The record is from RNAcentral. Lineage: Eukaryota; Viridiplantae; Streptophyta; Magnoliopsida; Malpighiales; Euphorbiaceae.